UGGUUAGCUCAAUUGGUAGAGCGCUCCACCUGUAAUGGAGAGGUCCCGGGUUCGAUACCCGGACCAGGCG
Ixodes scapularis (black-legged tick) is the source of this 70-nucleotide non-coding RNA. The record is from Rfam. Lineage: Eukaryota; Metazoa; Arthropoda; Arachnida; Ixodida; Ixodidae.